This 73-nucleotide transfer RNA is filed under the name Camelus bactrianus (Bactrian camel). It matches the Rfam family "tRNA". From Rfam's summary of the family: Transfer RNA (tRNA) molecules are approximately 80 nucleotides in length. Their secondary structure includes four short double-helical elements and three loops (D, anti-codon, and T loops). The record is from Rfam by way of RNAcentral. RNAcentral also lists the same sequence under 1 other name. Lineage: Eukaryota; Metazoa; Chordata; Mammalia; Artiodactyla; Camelidae.
GAGGGUAUAGCUCAGUGGUAGAGUGUGUGCUUAGCACGCAAGAAGGUCCUGGGUUCAAUCCCCAGUACCUCCA